AGUUGCUUCUUUGUGACGAGUGGCGCACGGGUGCGUAACGCGUAUAGAACCUACCCUGUACAGGGGGAUAGCCCAUGGAAACGUGGAUUAAUACCCCGUGGUGAUAUAGAUUGGCAUCGAUUUAUAUUUAAAGUCUUCGGGCGGUACGGGAUGGCUAUGCGUCUUAUUAGUUAGUAGGUGAGGUAACGGCUCACCUAGGCAGCGAUAAGUAGGGGCCCUGAGAGGGGGAUCCCCCACACUGGUACUGAGACACGGACCAGACUCCUACGGGAGGCAGCAGUGAGGAAUAUUGGACAAUGGGCGGAAGCCUGAUCCAGCCAUGCCGCGUGCAGGAAGACGGCCCUACGGGUUGUAAACUGCUUUUAUACAGGAAGAAUAAUCACCACGUGUGGUGAGAUGACGGUACUGUAAGAAUAAGGACCGGCUAACUCCGUGCCAGCAGCCGCGGUAAUACGGAGGGUCCGAGCGUUAUCCGGAAUCAUUGGGUUUAAAGGGUCCGCAGGCGGGCAAUUAAGUCAGGGGUGAAAUGCUGUGGCUCAACCAUAGCACUGCCUUUGAUACUGGUUGUCUUGAGUUGUGGUGAAGUGGCCGGAAUAUGUAGUGUAGCGGUGAAAUGCAUAGAUAUUACAUAGAACACCGAUCGCGAAGGCAGGUCACUAACCACUAACUGACGCUGAUGGACGAAAGCGUGGGGAGCGAACGGGAUUAGAUACCCCGGUAGUCCACGCUGUAAACGAUGGAUACUAGCUGUCGGGUUUUCGGACUCGGUGGCCAAGCGAAAGUGAUAAGUAUCCCACCUGGGGAGUACGUUCGCAAGAAUGAAACU
Molecule: ribosomal RNA, 826 nt
Filed under: uncultured bacterium
Lineage: Bacteria
Description: bacterial SSU rRNA
Rfam family: Bacterial small subunit ribosomal RNA
Source: RNAcentral